UAUAAUGCAGUUGGGUGCAACGCAUAUAAUCGUAUUUCUGUACAGAGUCCAAGGAAAUGAACCUGGAAAAACAAUUGAACAAAGCAACAGUGUAAACAUGACCUGUGGGGAUGACAGUGUUUGGAAUACAACUCUUAGAAAAUGUACCGAAUGUAACCCUGGCUUUGUUGGACGGAAUUGUUCCACAUUGUGUCAUUAUCCUCAGUAGGGCUACUUAUGCAGCAAGCGGUGUGAGAAUUGUGGUAUUGAAUCAUGUGACCACAGAACAGGCUGUCCAGAAUCAGCUA
Long non-coding RNA from Saccostrea cuccullata (small rock oyster), 287 nucleotides. RefSeq lists it as uncharacterized. The record is from RefSeq and is a predicted model, not a curated record. The transcript has 3 exons. NCBI's taxonomy places the organism in Eukaryota, Metazoa, Mollusca, Bivalvia, Ostreida, Ostreidae.